AAUAGAUAAUCCUUCAUAUCAGCCACCAAGAGCAGCAGGUUAGGAGUUGUCAAGCCAAUAAUUUAAUGCCAAUUCUCUGGCACGUCAAUAUUUGCUAAGAAAUAUCCCUUCAUUGUGCUGUGUGUUACCCCUGGGAAUGUGAAUCUGUCUGGAGUCUGGCAGAAAUUCAAGUGUCUUUGAAAAGACAGUCAGGAACUCUGUUACGGAUAUCUUGUUUUGACAAUUCCCUCUU
This 232-nucleotide long non-coding RNA is filed under the name Homo sapiens (human). RNAcentral describes it as "HSALNT0237020". The record is from RNAcentral. Lineage: Eukaryota; Metazoa; Chordata; Mammalia; Primates; Hominidae.